UCUACGGGUGGCAGCAGUGAGGAAUAUUGGUCAAUGGCCGGAAGGCUGAACCAGCCAAGCCGCGUGAGGGAGGAAGGCGCAGAGCGUCGCAGACCUCUUUUGCCGGGGGACAAAAGGCCGGACUCGUCCGGUCCUGAGGGUACCCGGAGAAAAAGCAUCGGCUAACUCCGUGCCAGCAGCCGCGGUAAUACGGAGGAUGCGAGCGUUAUCCGGAUUCAUUGGGUUUAAAGGGUGCGCAGGCGGGCUGUUAAGUCAGCGGUAAAAGCCCGGGGCUCAACCCCGGCGAGCCGUUGAAACUGGCUGUCUUGAGAUGUCGAGAGGUAUGCGGAAUGCGCAGUGUAGCGGUGAAAUGCUUAGAUAUUGCGCAGAACUCCGAUUGCGAAGGCAGCAUACCGGCGGCGAUCUGACGCUGAGGCACGAAAGCGUGGGUAUCGAACAGGAUUAGAUACCCCUGUAGUC
This 459-nucleotide ribosomal RNA is filed under the name uncultured bacterium. Its description in RNAcentral is "partial 16S ribosomal RNA". It matches the Rfam family "Bacterial small subunit ribosomal RNA", at positions 338 to 795 of the family's 1533-position model. The record is from RNAcentral.